AACGAACGCUGGCGGCAUGCCUAACACAUGCAAGUCGAACGAUGCCUCCGGGCAUAGUGGCGCACGGGUGCGUAACGCGUGGGAAUCUGCCCUUGGGUUCGGAAUAACUCGCCGAAAGGCGAGCUAAUACCGGAUGAUGACGUAAGUCCAAAGAUUUAUCGCCCAAGGAUGAGCCCGCGUAGGAUUAGCUAGUUGGUGGGGUAAAGGCCCACCAAGGCGACGAUCCUUAGCUGGUCUGAGAGGAUGAUCAGCCACACUGGGACUGAGACACGGCCCAGACUCCUACGGGAGGCAGCAGUGGGGAAUAUUGGACAAUGGGCGAAAGCCUGAUCCAGCAAUGCCGCGUGAGUGAUGAAGGCCUUAGGGUUGUAAAGCCCUUUUACCCGGGAUGAUAAUGACAGUACCGGGAGAAUAAGCUCCGGCUAACUCCGUG
RNAcentral lists this ribosomal RNA (433 nucleotides) under uncultured bacterium. RNAcentral's name for it is "partial 16S ribosomal RNA". It matches the Rfam family "Bacterial small subunit ribosomal RNA", at positions 29 to 507 of the family's 1533-position model. The record is from RNAcentral.